GAAAAGGGAAUGAAAUGAAAGUUGAAUUGCAUAGAAACGGGUUUAAUGAAUUUUGACCCCGGUAAUGCACUUUUGCAGGAUAAAAGUCCUAACGCGAAAUUGACCGCGUACAAACCUAAUUGAGGGUAAAACAAACGCGUUGGCGAAGUCGGUUCGGCAAUCCGUCGAGCCUACGCGAAGAUAUCGCCAAAAAACAUUUUCGGCUACAAUUGUCGCGAGCGCGGGUCGCGGUUCUCGAGAAAGUGCGGGAAGUGGAUUUCUCACGUUCAGGUAUCAGAUAAAGCCGAAAUACAAGUGUGGACUGAUUGUGCAGUGAGCAAGCAGUUUAGCAUCUGAUUAAGUGGCCGAAAUGAUGAGGAGGGCCAUUUGAAGCUGUGAACUAGUUGAUCCAGCAUCUAAUGAAGAAGAGGAUCAGUUCAUGCAGUGAACAAGUUUAUUCAACAUCAACUUACAAGUUGAAGCUGAAGUUGCAAUCCUUGUGGAACUUGGUGAAUUGCUGAAGCAGGGAGCCAGAAAUCAGCAAAGGAAAUCUGAAUUUGAGGUCGACGACACGUUACUUACAGUAGAGACCGUUCUAGUUCUAUUUGCACAGAGUCACGAGAGAUAGUUGUCGACACUUUUCGAGACAUUGAUCUUGGUCGAUUGACACCACUACAGGUUCCAAUGCGAGCGUUGUGGCCGAGGAUCGAGGUAAGAGCCCAGCAUCCUAGCUAGCUGACACCAGAGUUAUAGUUAUUUAACAUUUUGAGUUCAUGUAUCAUCUAUUUUGAUGUACAGAGACAUGUAAAUGAAUGUAUAUAAAGCAUGUAAUAACUAA
This is a long non-coding RNA of Ananas comosus (pineapple), 817 nucleotides long. RefSeq lists it as uncharacterized. NCBI's taxonomy places the organism in Eukaryota, Viridiplantae, Streptophyta, Magnoliopsida, Poales, Bromeliaceae. The record is from RefSeq and is a predicted model, not a curated record. The transcript has 6 exons.